RNAcentral lists this long non-coding RNA (2888 nucleotides) under Equus caballus (horse). RNAcentral describes it as "lncRNA (ENSECAG00000049542.1)". The record is from RNAcentral. Lineage: Eukaryota; Metazoa; Chordata; Mammalia; Perissodactyla; Equidae.
CUCAAAUGCAGAUUACUUGACUCCACCUCCUGAACCAGACUCUGCAGGCAGUGCUCUCGGAAUCUCCAGCUUCCCAAGCUUCCAGGUGAUUUUAUGAUGCUGAAGUUUGAGAACCAUGGAGGGCUAGGAAAAAGCCACCAGAUGGAGGAAAUUCACACAAAGUUUUGAGAGGCUAGUAACAGCGACUUUAAAAAGAGGAUGAUGAGGGCCGGCCUGGUGGCACAGGGGUUGAGUGCACCCGUUCCGCUUCGGCGGCCCAGGGUUGGCUGCUUCGGAUCCUGGGUACAAACACGGCACUGCUCAGCAAGCCAUGCUGCGGGAUCAAGUAUUACAGACAAGGUUGACUGGGCUGAGUGAGUCACCGUGAAUCCAGAUUCCCAGGCAACCUCCAAAUCAACAUACAGAUCAGGGCCAAGGCCCGAACCUAAAGGGUAAUAAGUUGGCAUUUUCCAAAGUCUGAAGUUCUGAGUAUUUUUCUAGACGCUGCCUCAGGGCUUCUGUGGCAGCAGCGCCACCCGGCCCCCGCCUCGCCCCGCCAGGCAGCGGUGUCAGCACUUUCAGGUGAACGGCCCUCCUUGCUUUCUGACCCCGUGCCAGCCCUUGAGGAAAUUCGGCCUCCCAGGGGGGUGGUCUCAGGACCCCAGGCUCCUCCCAGUCAAUUCUGCCUCUUCUUCCUUCCAGAGGUUGUCUGCCGGGGACACUGACAGUAACCGUGUGGUCAGGAGGUAAGAGUACAGCGGGAACCAGAGGGUAAUUUAUUUUCAAAUAACUGGUGCAGUAAAAAGGGAGCCUUAAAGAUACUUCAGUUUAGCACACUCUGUGCUCGAAUUGGAGAAAGAGAGAAGUCCCUUUAUGAUGCUGUGUAUUACCAAAUGGAAUUCCAAAUACUCACGUGGUCAAGCGACAGACGCUCUCCGUGAAGGUUCCCUGACUGCAGGGAGCAGACAGCACCACAGACACUUGUAGCUCCGAGGCCUUCAUCCACGCAGAAGAAAAGCUGUCCCUCUGGGGCUGGGGAGGAGGGCUAACUUAAUAGGAUGUACAUUUACCCCACAGGACGGAGGUCACUAAGGGUGUGCUCCAGAUCGAAGCCACUCUGCGGCCAGGUUCUCGUGGCUCAUUCUCGGUCUCCAGAGAGAAGAGGGGCGAGUCAUCCAGUGUCAUUUGGGGACUGAGCUAAAGGGGCUGUUCUGUCUCUGGCUCGUCCUUUUGUUAUGGUUUGGACUCACAGUAGUAACAACUGUAGCUAACAUCUGUCAACCUCGUAUCAGCCCUGCCCUGGGGUCUCCCCCGGGUCACUCGUUUCUGCUCACAGUAACCUGUGGAGCAGGUGCUGCUGUUGCUUCAUUUCGUAAGCAGCACAGAGGUGCUCAGGUGUUCUGGCCGUCCUUUGUUGCAUGACGUAUUAUCUCAGAACUUAGUGACUGAAAACAGCAACAGUUCCGUUACUGCCGCCUCUUGUGGCUCGCGAGGCUGGCUGGGCUCAGCCGGGCACUGCUCGCCGAGCGACUCCAGCUCGGGUCUCCCGCAUUGCCCUCAGAUGGCGGCUGUGCCUGGGAUCACCUUGAGUGUUUCCUCACUCAUGUGUCUGUUGGUGGGGACCCCCGGUGGGACUGUCACCCAGAACUCCACACACGACCUCUCCUUGUGGCCUGGACCUCCCUGGAGCAUCACAGCUGGGGCCAAGAGGAGAGGUGAAGGCUGUGUUGCCUUUUUUUUAAAAAACAAAGCAAAUUUUGUUUGUUUUUAUUUUUGAGUUAAUUACUUGACUAACAGGAUAUUGCAAAUAUAGUAACAGAGUCCCAUGAACCUUCACAUAGCAUCCGCCAUCGAUGAGAUCUUCCAUAACUGUGGACCAGAAUCAGCACCAGGAAACUGACAUCUGCACAACACUGUUAACUAGACUAUGAACUUAUUCCUUUUUACCAGUUUUUACAUGCACCCAUUUGUGUGUUCUGUGCAAUUUGAUUCCAUGUUAAGAAGCAUGUAAUCACCACACAAUCAACAUAUAAAACUUCCAUCAAGGGACUCUCCUAUGCUGUCCCUUUACAGGAGCACCCACCCUACUCUGUCCCCUGGUGACCACUCCCCUGUUCUCCAUCUUUACAGUUUUACCAUUUCAAGAAUCCCAUAUAAAUGGAAUCAUAUGUACGUAACCUUCUGAGACUGGCUCUUUUGCACUAAUGCCCUUUAGAUCAUCCAACUGUGUACAUAUCAAUAGUUUGUUUUUGGUUGCUGAGUAAUAGUCCAUGUAUGCGGGACACCUAGUCAGUGUCAACUGAGAAUUGGAGAAUCUCUUGGUGGUGUAGAAAAAAAUACAUCAUGGAGUUGUGUUCACCAAUGCUCAACUACCAUCCUUGGAAGCCCUGCCACUCAACUUAUUUCCGUUAUUCCAUAAACAUUCAAGUGCCCACCAUGAGCCAAGAACUUUUCUAUGCACUAGAGCGACAAGAGCAUUCACACUCCCCCCGCGGAGCUCACAGCCUGCAGAAGGAGCCAGCUGGGAAGCAGAAGACACAGCAUGGCGUCAUAAACCUAUGACAGAGCCUGUCCUGGUGGCACUGUGGGAAGCAUGACCCGGAUGCGGGGCAGGCAAAUGGCUCUCAGGGACGCUUCCCAAAGGCUUUGUGAUACAGAUGCUAUUAAGAUCUUCCUAUCGCAGACGGGAAAGUGAGGCACAGAGAGGUCACAUGGCUCCAAGUGACCAAGGCAGGCUCUGAACUCUGAGGUGCAUCUCUGAAGCCCUACGCUGCACUCCCUGUAUACAGCCAAGGUUUGGGGGAUUGAUAAAAUCUACUUUUUCUCUUUGCCCAAAUUUGGGACCAUUGAGAGAUGGACACAGAGACCAAGCUAAGAAAAUGUUAAUUUGAUUACUGAUAAAGCUGGAC